Molecule: ribosomal RNA, 497 nt
Filed under: uncultured bacterium
Lineage: Bacteria
Description: partial 16S ribosomal RNA
Rfam family: Bacterial small subunit ribosomal RNA
Source: RNAcentral
GAUGAACGCUGGCGGCGUGCCUAAUACAUGCAAGUCGAGCGAACGGACGAUAAGCUUGCUUCUCUGAUGUUAGCGGCGGACGGGUGAGUAACACGUGGAUCACCUACUUAUAUGACUGGGAUCACUACGGGAAACCGGAGCUAAUACCGGAUAAUAUUUUGAACCGCAUGGUUCAAUAGUGAAAGUCGGUCUUGCUGUCUCUUAUAGAUGGAUCCGCGCUGCAUUAGCUAGUUGGUAAGUUAACGGCUUACCAAGGCGACGAUGCGUAGCCGACGUGAGAGGGUGGUCGGCCACACGGGAAGGGAGACAGGGUCCAGACUCCUACGGGAGGCAGCAGUAGGGAAUGUUCCGCAAUGGGCGAAAGCCUGACGGAGCAACGCCGCGUGAGUGAUGAAGGUGUUCGGAUCGUAAAGCUCUGUUAUUAGGGAAGAACAUAUGUGGAAGUAACUGUGCACAUCUUGACGGUACCGAAUCAAAAAGCAACGGCUAACUACGUG